This 66-nucleotide small nuclear RNA is filed under the name Pteropus vampyrus (large flying fox). Its description in RNAcentral is "U7 small nuclear RNA (ENSPVAG00000029896.1)". The record is from RNAcentral. Lineage: Eukaryota; Metazoa; Chordata; Mammalia; Chiroptera; Pteropodidae.
UAGUGCUGACAGCUGUUUUUGUAUUUGUCUAGUAGGUCUUCCAGUUAAACAACAAUAACAACCACA